This 482-nucleotide ribosomal RNA is filed under the name uncultured bacterium. RNAcentral's name for it is "bacterial SSU rRNA". It matches the Rfam family "Bacterial small subunit ribosomal RNA", at positions 8 to 507 of the family's 1533-position model. The record is from RNAcentral.
AGAGUUUGAUCAUGGCUCAGAUUGAACGCUGGCGGCAUGCCUUACACAUGCAAGUCGAACGGUAAGGCCCUUCGGGGUACACGAGUGGCGAACGGGUGAGUAACACGUGGGUGAUCUGCCCUGCACUUCGGGAUAAGCUUGGGAAACUGGGUCUAAUACCGGAUAGGACCACGGUCUGCAUGGAUUGUGGUGGAAAGCUUUUGCGGUGUGGGAUGGGCCCGCGGCCUAUCAGCUUGUUGGUGGGGUGAUGGCCUACCAAGGCGACGACGGGUAGCCGGCCAGAGAGGGUGUCCGGCCACACUGGGACUGAGAUACGGCCCAGACUCCUACGGGAGGCAGCAGUGGGGAAUAUUGCACAAUGGGCGCAAGCCUGAUGCAGCGACGCCGCGUGGGGGAUGACGGCCUUCGGGUUGUAAACCUCUUUCAGCAGGGACGAAGGGUGACUGACGGUACCUGUAGAAGAAGCACCGGCCAACUACGUG